UAUAUUAUAGAGAGUCAGGCCUGCCCAGUGAAUAAUAUUUAACGGCCGCGGUACUCUGACCGUGCAAAGGUAGCAUAAUCAUUUGCCUUAUAAUUGAAGGCUGGUAUGAAUGGUUUAACGAGAGCAAUGCUGUCUCCUUUCUAUUUUCAAGAACUUAACCUUUAGGUGAAGAGGCCCAAAUUUAAUUGAAGGACAAGAAGACCCUGUCGAGCUUAAAAGACACUAUAGAAGUUCAUAUAUUUUUAAAUAAAUUAUCUAUUAAGCUUUUUAGUUGGGGCGACUAAGGAACAAAAAAAGCUUCUUACAUUAAAGAAACAACCAAGUUUUGAUCCGAUAACAAUCGAUUAAAGAAAUUAGUUACCGCAGGGAUAACAGCAUAAUCUCUCUUGAGAGACCUAAUCGAAAGAGGGGGUUGUGACCUCGAUGUUGGACUAGAAUAUCCUAAAGAUGCAGAAGUCUUUAAGGGU
This 467-nucleotide ribosomal RNA is filed under the name Elimia livescens. RNAcentral's name for it is "partial 16S ribosomal RNA". It matches the Rfam family "Bacterial large subunit ribosomal RNA", at positions 1839 to 2572 of the family's 2925-position model. The record is from RNAcentral. Lineage: Eukaryota; Metazoa; Mollusca; Gastropoda; Pleuroceridae.